Molecule: unclassified non-coding RNA, 320 nt
Filed under: plant metagenome
Description: partial contains 5.8S ribosomal RNA, internal transcribed spacer 2, and large subunit ribosomal RNA
Rfam family: 5.8S ribosomal RNA (bases 1-105)
Source: RNAcentral
GAAAUGCGAUAAGUAAUGUGAAUUGCAGAAUUCAGUGAAUCAUCGAAUCUUUGAACGCACAUUGCGCCCGCCAGUAUUCUGGCGGGCAUGCCUGUUCGAGCGUCAUUACAGCCCUCAGGCCCCCGGGCCUGGCGUUGGGGAUCGGCGGAAGCCCCCUGCGGGCACAACGCCGUCCCCCAAAUACAGUGGCGGUCCCGCCGCAGCUUCCAUUGCGUAGUAGCUAACACCUCGCAACUGGAGAGCGGCGCGGCCACGCCGUAAAACACCCAACUUCUGAAUGUUGACCUCGAAUCAGGUAGGAAUACCCGCUGAACUUAAGC